AGAGUUUGAUCCUGGCUCAGGACGAACGCUGGCGGCGUGCCUAACACAUGCAAGUCGAACGGGGUUUACAGAGAAGCUUGCUUUUUUGUAAACCUAGUGGCGGACGGGUGAGUAACGCGUGGAUAACCUGCCUGUAAGACCGGGAUAACACCGGGAAACCGGUGCUAAUACCGGACGUGCUGUAAAGGGGGCAUCCCCUUUACAGGGAAGGGACGUAAGUCUGCUUACAGAUGGGUCCGCGUCCCAUUAGCUAGCUGGUGGGGUAACGGCCUACCAGGGCGACGAUGGGUAGCCGGCCUGAGAGGGUGGUCGGCCACACUGGGACUGAGACACGGCCCAGACUCCUACGGGAGGCAGCAGUGGGGAAUAUUGCGCAAUGGGCGGAAGCCUGACGCAGCGACGCCGCGUGGGUGAAGAAGGCCUUCGGGUCGUAAAACCCUGUUGCAGGGGACGAAGGAAGUGACGGUACCCUGUGAGGAAGCCCCGGCUAACUACGUGCCAGCAGCCGCGGUAAAACGUAGGGGGCGAGCGUUGUCCGGAAUUACUGGGUGUAAAGGGCGUGUAGGCGGGGAUGCAAGUCAGAUGUGAAAUUCCGGGGCUCAACCUUGGCACUGCAUCUGAAACUGUGUCUCUUGAGUGCUGGAGAGGAAAGUGGAAUUCCUAGUGUAGCGGUGAAAUGCGUAGAGAUUAGGAGGAACACCAGUGGCGAAGGCGACUUUCUGGACAGCAACUGACGCUGAGGCGCGAGAGCGUGGGGAGCAAACAGAAUUAGAUACCCUGGUAGUCCACGCCGUAAACGAUGGAUACUAGGUGUAGGAGGUAUCGACCCCUUCUGUGCCGUAGUUAACACAAUAAGUAUCCCACCUGGGGAGUACGGCCGCAAGGCUGAAACUCAAAGGAAUUGACGGGGGCCCGCACAAGCAGUGGAGUAUGUGGUUUAAUUCGAAGCAACGCGAAGAACCUUACCAGGGCUUGACAUCCCUUGACCGCUGUAGAAAUACAGUUUCCCUUCGGGGCAAGGAGACAGGUGGUGCAUGGUUGUCGUCAGCUCGUGUCGUGAGAUGUUGGGUUAAGUCCCGCAACGAGCGCAACCCCUGUCGUUAGUUGCCAGCACGUAGAGGUGGGCACUCUAGCGAGACUGCCGGUGACAAAUCGGAGGAAGGUGGGGACGACGUCAAAUCAUCAUGCCCCUUAUGUCCUGGGCUACACACGUACUACAAUGGUUGCUACAGAGGGCAGCGAAGCCGCGAGGUGGAGCAAAUCCCUAAAAGCAGCCCCAGUUCGGAUUGCAGGCUGAAACUCGCCUGCAUGAAGUCGGAAUUGCUAGUAAUGGCAGGUCAGCAUACUGCCGUGAAUACGUUCCCGGGCCUUGUACACACCGCCCGUCACACCAUGAGAGUCGGCAACACCCGAAGUCAGUAGUCUAACCGCAAGGGGGACGCUGCCGAAGGUGGGGCUGAUGAUUGGGGUGAAGUCGUAACAAGGUAACCG
Molecule: ribosomal RNA, 1491 nt
Filed under: uncultured bacterium
Lineage: Bacteria
Description: bacterial SSU rRNA
Rfam family: Bacterial small subunit ribosomal RNA
Source: RNAcentral